GUGUUUUUGUUGUUGCAGUACGACAUCGCCGAGAAGGCCGUCGCCGCAGUCAAGGCCGUCGCUGGCAAGGACUUCGAUUUCGGAAAUAUCGCAGAAGCCAUUUACAUUGCCUCGGGCAGCACCAUCGACUACGUGUACAGCAAGUGCGUGCCGUUCCCCUUCGUGUUCGAGCUGCGCGACAACGGCAUCUACGGCUUCCUGCUGCCCGAGGACCAGAUCGUGGACGGCGCCAGGGAGGCCUGGGCCGGCGUCAGGGUCAUCGCGGAGGAGGCUUUCAAGGACGGCGUGCCCGCCAGCAACCCCGCCACCUGCCCGUCGCUCUGAGUCCGCGACAUCGGAACGGAUUUUUGGGAACUGGGGGAGCAUGUGCAUCGAAUCGUCUGAAAUAUAAAGUUCUGUCUGGAUC
Long non-coding RNA from Thrips palmi, 406 nucleotides. RefSeq lists it as uncharacterized. NCBI's taxonomy places the organism in Eukaryota, Metazoa, Arthropoda, Insecta, Thysanoptera, Thripidae. The transcript is spliced from 2 exons. The record is from RefSeq and is a predicted model, not a curated record.